CGCUCACUGCCGAGCCUCGGUCUCCUCGUCUGACACUAUGUGGGCGUCUGAACCGGGCCCAGCCGCCUAGGCCGGGCCACCGCGAGAGUCUGGCGCGAGGGUGUCACUUCCCGUGACGAGGGGAGAGUUGGCGUUUUGACAACAGGAGGUGGCCCGGCCGCGGGACCCCUGUUCCCCGUGGGGAGCAGCCGUCCCCGCACCCGCCAAGAGGACCGGGGCAGAGCCCGCCCGCCGCCCGCCCCGCUGUCUUGGGAAGGUUCCGAGUGCACCGCGAGGGCCCUGCGCGCCGCCCUCACCUGCAAAGGGUUUUUUUUUUUUUUUUUUGAGUUUUUCCAAAACCGAGCAGUGCGCCCCGCGGGUAGAACGCCUCGGGUGGGAAGGGCCUGGAGCGCACGGCGCUGCCAUGGGCCCCCGAGGAAGGCGCUGUUUCCUCCUGUGGAUGGACGACGGCCCAGUCCGGUUUCCUCCCUGGCUCCGGUGGCCCAGUGUUUCCUUGGUUCGAAUCCUGGACGCAGACAUGGCACCACUCAUCCAGCCACGCUGAGGCGGCGUCCCACAUGCCACAACUAGAAGGACCCACGACUAAGAAUAUAUAACUAU
RNAcentral lists this long non-coding RNA (600 nucleotides) under Equus asinus (donkey). RNAcentral's name for it is "lncRNA (ENSEASG00005037523.1)". Lineage: Eukaryota; Metazoa; Chordata; Mammalia; Perissodactyla; Equidae. The record is from RNAcentral.